RNAcentral lists this ribosomal RNA (560 nucleotides) under uncultured fungus. RNAcentral describes it as "SSU rRNA". It matches the Rfam family "Eukaryotic small subunit ribosomal RNA", at positions 191 to 755 of the family's 1831-position model. Lineage: Eukaryota; Fungi. The record is from RNAcentral.
AUUGGAAGGGGUGUAUUUAUUAGAUAAAAAACCAACGCCCUUCGGGGCUCCUUGGUGAUUCAUAAUAACUUAACGAAUCGCAUGGCCUUGCGCCGGCGAUGGUUCAUUCAAAUUUCUGCCCUAUCAACUUUCGAUGGUAGGAUAGUGGCCUACCAUGGUCUCAACGGGUAACGGGGAAUUAGGGUUCGAUUCCGGAGAGGGAGCCUGAGAAACGGCUACCACAUCCAAGGAAGGCAGCAGGCGCGCAAAUUACCCAAUCCCAAUUCGGGGAGGUAGUGACAAUAAAUACUGAUACAGGGCUCUUUUGGGUCUUGUAAUUGGAAUGAGUACAAUCUAAAUCCCUUAACGAGGAACAAUUGGAGGGCAAGUCUGGUGCCAGCAGCCCCGGUAAUUCCAGCUCCAAUAGCGUAUAUUAAAGUUGUUGCCGUUAAAAAGCUCGUAGUUGAACCUUGGGCCUGGCUGAUCUGUCCUCCUAAUCGAGCGCACGGAUUCGGUCGGGCCUUUCCUUCUGGGGAGCCCGAUGCCCUUCACUGGGCGUCGUGGGGAACCAGGACUUUUAC